CCAGACUCCUACGGGAGGCAGCAGUGGGGAAUAUUGGGCAAUGGAGGCAACUCUGACCCAGCAAUGCCGCGUGAGUGAUGAAGGUAAUUUUAUUGUAAAGCUCUUUUCUUUGGAACGAAUAAAUGACGGUACCAAAGGAAUAAGCCCCGGCUAACUACGUGCCAGCAGCCGCGGUAAUACGUAGGGAGCAAGCGUUGUCCGGAAUUACUGGGCGUAAAGGGCGCGUAGGUGGGCGCUUAAGUCAGGUGUGAAAACUCCGGGCUCAACCUGGAGACUGCACUUGAAACUGGGUGUCUUGAGGGCAGGGGAGGAAAGUGGAAUUCCUAGUGUAGCGGUGAAAUGCGUAGAUAUUAGGAGGAACACCAGUGGCGAAGGCGACUUUCUGGACUGUACCUGACGCUGAGGCGCGAAAGCGUGGGUAGCGAACGGGAUUAGAUACCCUAGUAC
Molecule: ribosomal RNA, 447 nt
Filed under: uncultured bacterium
Lineage: Bacteria
Description: bacterial SSU rRNA
Rfam family: Bacterial small subunit ribosomal RNA
Source: RNAcentral